UGGGGAAUUUUCCGCAAUGGGCGAAAGCCUGACGGAGCAAUACCGCGUGAGGGAGGAAGGCUCUUGGGUCGUAAACCUCUUUUCUCAAGGAAGAAAAAAAUGACGGUACUUGAGGAAUCAGCAUCGGCUAACUCCGUGCCAGCAGCCGCGGUAAUACGGAGGAUGCAAGCGUUAUCCGGAAUGAUUGGGCGUAAAGCGUCCGCAGGUGGCACUUCAAGUCGAUUGUCAAAUCGCCCAGCUUAACUGGGCAAAGGCAGUGGAAACUGGGGAGCUAGAGAGCAAUAGGGGUAGAGGGAAUUCCCGGUGUAGCGGUGAAAUGCGUAGAGAUCGGGAAGAACACCAGUGGCGAAAGCGCUCUACUAGGUUGCAUCUGACACUGAGGGACGAAAGCUAGGGGAGCGAAUGGG
RNAcentral lists this ribosomal RNA (407 nucleotides) under uncultured Xenococcaceae cyanobacterium. RNAcentral describes it as "bacterial SSU rRNA". It matches the Rfam family "Bacterial small subunit ribosomal RNA", at positions 355 to 776 of the family's 1533-position model. Lineage: Bacteria; Bacillati; Cyanobacteriota; Cyanophyceae; Pleurocapsales; Xenococcaceae. The record is from RNAcentral.